RNAcentral lists this ribosomal RNA (1039 nucleotides) under Gilliamella apicola. RNAcentral describes it as "bacterial SSU rRNA". It matches the Rfam family "Bacterial small subunit ribosomal RNA", at positions 401 to 1435 of the family's 1533-position model. Lineage: Bacteria; Pseudomonadati; Pseudomonadota; Gammaproteobacteria; Orbales; Orbaceae. The record is from RNAcentral.
GUAUGAAGAAGGCCUUCGGGUUGUAAAGUACUUUCGGUGAUGAGGAAGGUGACGUAUCUAAUAGGUAUGUUAAUUGACGUUAAUUACAGAAGAAGCACCGGCUAACUCCGUGCCAGCAGCCGCGGUAAUACGGAGGGUGCGAGCGUUAAUCGGAAUGACUGGGCGUAAAGGGCAUGUAGGCGGAUAAUUAAGUUAGGUGUGAAAGCCCUGGGCUCAACCUAGGAAUUGCACUUAAAACUGGUUAACUAGAGUAUUGUAGAGGAAGGUAGAAUUCCACGUGUAGCGGUGAAAUGCGUAGAGAUGUGGAGGAAUACCGGUGGCGAAGGCGGCCUUCUGGACAGAUACUGACGCUGAGAUGCGAAAGCGUGGGGAGCAAACAGGAUUAGAUACCCUGGUAGUCCACGCUGUAAACGAUGUCGAUUUGGAGUUUGUUGCCUUGAGUGAUGGGCUCCGAAGCUAACGCGAUAAAUCGACCGCCUGGGGAGUACGGCCGCAAGGUUAAAACUCAAAUGAAUUGACGGGGGCCCGCACAAGCGGUGGAGCAUGUGGUUUAAUUCGAUGCAACGCGAAGAACCUUACCUGGUCUUGACAUCCACAGAAUCUUGCAGAGAUGCGGGAGUGCCUUCGGGAACUGUGAGACAGGUGCUGCAUGGCUGUCGUCAGCUCGUGUUGUGAAAUGUUGGGUUAAGUCCCGCAACGAGCGCAACCCUUAUCCUUUGUUGCCAUCGGUUUGGCCGGGAACUCAAAGGAGACUGCCGUUGAUAAAGCGGAGGAAGGUGGGGACGACGUCAAGUCAUCAUGGCCCUUACGACCAGGGCUACACACGUGCUACAAUGGCGUAUACAAAGGGAGGCGACCUCGCGAGAGCAAGCGGACCUCAUAAAGUACGUCUAAGUCCGGAUUGGAGUCUGCAACUCGACUCCAUGAAGUCGGAAUCGCUAGUAAUCGUGAAUCAGAAUGUCACGGUGAAUACGUUCCCGGGCCUUGUACACACCGCCCGUCACACCAUGGGAGUGGGUUGCACCAGAAGUAGAUAGCU